Molecule: long non-coding RNA, 2888 nt
Filed under: Macaca mulatta (Rhesus monkey)
Lineage: Eukaryota; Metazoa; Chordata; Mammalia; Primates; Cercopithecidae
Description: lncRNA (ENSMMUG00000057922.1)
Source: RNAcentral
GACUGUAAUAUAACCACAAUGUUUCUGGCCUUCUUAGGAGAAUUUCUGAGGGCUUCACAGCAAAAUCUCAAAACAAGGGAGAGAAUCCAGUUUCAUUUGAAGGAUAAUCUGAUGUUUCAGAAGGAUUUUUUUGAAAAUGAAAGACCCCCAGUCCAGGAGUCCUGGGCCUGUUUGUUUGUAGAUGGCAGCAAGUUGCAGAACAAAUUCCAGAAGAGACUGCUAUGGCCCAGGCAAACCUGGAUGCUUGUAAUGCGCUGAUCAAAAAUUAUACACUUCGUUUUCUGACCGUCAACUCCUGUUCAAAGAUGAUCUUAAAUACGGUUCUGGGCGCACAUCUUGCCUGACUCCUGACUCACAGGCUGUGUUUACCGAGCAGCCGAAAUUGUUGGUGAACCUGCAAAAAUAGCCCAGUUUGACCUGCAAAUCACUGCAUUCAGGCCAGAAGCUGCAUGCCAGGCCCUCACCUCUGCCCUCACCCCACAGGACAGACAGUCCAGGUGCUCCUAGGAGCCAGGCUGUCAGGGACGGAGAGUGCGAGUGUGCAUGCAUAGGUGUGCAUGUGUGAAUGCAUGUGUGUACACGUGCUCUCACACGCCCACGUGGAGAGCAGCAAACACAAAUGACUCCCAGGAGCAGUGAAGGAGGAGGUUGUUUUUCACUGAGUGAGGUGUUUGCUGCUUGUACUUGAGGCACAGGACUGGGAAGGAAGAACCGAAAAUCCCAAUGAUCAUCGUCAUCAUACUAAUAUAAAAAGGACCAGUAUUUGUUGAGUAAUUAUUUGGAGCCAGGCACGGUGCUAAACUCUUUAAUUGAAAAACGCAUUUACUCUUCCCAACAACUGUAUGAGACAGCUGCUACUAUCACUCCCACUUUAUAGAAGAGGAAUCUGGGGCUCAGAGAAGUUAAGCAACCAGCCCAAGGUCAAGCACCGGGUCAGUGGCCAAGCAAGGAUUUGGAAAAUUUGACUGAAAGCAUUGUCUUCAGGGAGGCAGCCAACAGAUGCAUUUUCCUUCUGGGAGAAGUUGGUUUUUCUGAACUGAGCUCAGAGCUGUUCCUGGUUCCAUCUUGAGAUGCAAAGAGGUUGCUGACACCUUCAGGCAGGUUCCAGCGGUGGGGCGGGCAGGGAGGAGAGCCAACAGAGCUUGCUAGAAUGCUGUCCUUCCAAUACACACAAACAGGACAAUAACUGAGCUGGAAUGGCUCUUUAGCUUCUCAGACCAGGACAAAAUUGAGACCCAGAAAGGGAAAGUCACUUGCUCAGGGGCACACAGCAAGUAAGUGGCUGAGCCGAGAUGAGAAUCUACGUUGACUCCCAGUCAUUCUAGACUCCCAGUCUAGAAUGUUCCCGGCAGCAUAACAAACAUGGAUUAAGUACGUAUUAUUCACAAGAAGCUGUGCUAAGUAUGUGGUAUUAACUCAGUUAUUUCUCAAAACAAUCUGAUGUGUCCUAUUAUGAUCCCUAUUUUACAGAGGGGGAAACAAUAGUACAGAGAGGUUAAGCAACUUUCUUGAGAUGGCACAGCCAGGGAAUGUGCUACGUCCUUCAAGGCCAAAAUAGGAGCUGUUGUCCUACCCUGUUACCCUCCCAUCUCAUUUGUCCACAGCUGCCUGGUCUCUCCCUACCCCUACCUACUUCCUGGAGAAACCACAUGGUUCUCUCCUGGCCUUGAUCUCAAGGAGUUUGGGCUGAAGGUCUGGACUGGGUGUAGAAGGAAGCCCAGCAGACUCUAAACAGAUGCAGUUGUCCCCAUUCCUCAUCAUGCUGUGUAAUGCUGGCCACCCAGUGACCUCGAGGCCAAUGUCAACCGGAUCUGAUAGGCUCAGCUACAUGUACAGUUGGACGUUGCCCUGGGACUCAUCUGUAAGACAUGACUAACAGCUUCACACCCUUCCAAAGCAUUCCAUUUUGAAUCUGGUGUCACCUGAGCUGGAAAAGGCUUUUGUUUAACUUGGGUUAUCUGGGUGGCAGUCAUAUUUUUUUUAACUUCACCCUACCCUUUUUUAUAGCUGUAGAUAAUCUUUCUUUCUGUAGAUAGGCCCAGAAAUGUAACUGUAUUUAUGGGUCAGGCUUUGCACACAGUCAUCGCUCAGAGGGCAGAGACAGAGCAGUAACUCAUGGAGCAGGCAUGGCACUCUCACAGGCUCAAUUUUUUCUCACCAGAGCUCAUGGAGUGGAGGGUGGGUGAAGGUGACACCUUCAAGAGGGGAAUAGAAGAUGAGAUUUUAGCCCAGGUACAAGGAGAGCAAAAACAGAAUGAGAAGGAGUGUGUGGAGGCUGAAGACGGACCUGGGAGAGGUGUUUAAUGAUGUCUCACCUACCUCAGUGUUUGACCUGCCCAGUGCAGGAGACAGAAGCAAAAGGUUCCUUCGGGCCUCAGGCUCUGGAGACAGACAAUUGAGCUAAAAUCAUGAUGAUUAACUUACUAGCCAUGCUACUCUGAGCAAGUGACUUAGCUUCUCUAGGUCUCCAUUUUCUCAGCUACAAAAUGAGGAUAUUAAAAACACAUCAUGGGAUUAUUACAAAGAUACGUAACUUAAACAUGGUGCCUGGUGCACCAGGAAUAUUAAAAAAUGUUAGGUGUUAUUUGUACGCAUGUGGAUGAGAUUCAGAACAUCAUGCUGAGUGAAAGAAGCCAGACACAAAGCAGGGCAUUGGUUUCAAGUUCUAAAAGAGGCAAAACUAGUCUAUGGUAAAAGAAAUCACAACAGUGGUUAUCACCGAGGUGGGAGAUGGGGAGGGGUUGACUAGGAAGGGGUGCAAAGGAUCUCCCUGGGGUGAUGGUACUGUUCUCUCUUGAUAGAGGUGUGCAUGCAUUGAACUACAUGCUUAAGAUCUGUAAAUGUUACUAUACAUAAAUUAUACUCCCAUUAAAAAUUAUCAGGAAAAA